GGAUUCCCCUAGUAACGGCGAGUGAAGAGGGAAGAGCCCAAGAUUGAAAGCUGGCGUCUUCGGCGUCCGCAUUGUAAUCUCAAGAAGUGUUUUCCGCUUCGGACCAUGCCUAAGUCCCUUGGAAAAGGGCAUCAUAGAGGGUGAUAAUCCCGUACAUGGCAUGGAGCGCCCGUAGCUUUGUGAUACGCUUUCUAAGAGUCGAGUUGUUUGGGAAUGCAGCUCAAAAUGGGUGGUAAAUGCCAUCUAAGGCUAAAUAUUGGGGAGAGACCGAUAGCGAACAAGUACAGUGAUGGAAAGAUGAAAAGAACUUUGAAAAGAGAGUUAAACAGUACGUGAAAUUGCCAAAAGGGAAGGGUAGGAGGUCAGAGAUGCGUCUUGGGAUUCAGCCUUGCUUUUGCCUGGUGUUUUUCCCAAGCUGCAGGCCAACGUCGGUUUUGGGCACUGGAGAAGGGUAGGAGGAACGUGGCACCUCUCGGGGUGUGUUAUAGCCUCCUACUGGAUACAGCGACCGAGACCGAGGAACGCAGCGUACUCGUAAGAGCGGGCCUUUUGGCACCUUUACGCUUAGGGCGUUGGCAUAAUGGCCCUCUACCACCCGUCUUGAACCACGGACC
Molecule: ribosomal RNA, 614 nt
Filed under: Mycosarcoma maydis (corn smut)
Lineage: Eukaryota; Fungi; Basidiomycota; Ustilaginomycetes; Ustilaginales
Description: LSU rRNA
Rfam family: Eukaryotic large subunit ribosomal RNA
Source: RNAcentral